AGAGCGGCGUACGGGUGCGGAACACGUGNGACACGUACCUUUAUCAGGGGAUAGCCCUUUCGAAAAGGAAGAUUAUACCCCAUAAUAUAUUUAAUGGCAUCAUUAGAUAUGAAAACUCCGGUGGAUAGAGAUGGGCACGCGCAAGAUUAGGUAGUUGGUAGGGUAACGGCUACCAAGUCAGUGAUCUUUAGGGGGGCCUGAGAGGGUGAUCCCCCACACUGGUACUGAGACACGGACCAGACUCCUACGGGAGGCAGCAGUGAGGAAUAUUGGACAAUGGGUGAGAGCCUGAUCCAGCCAUCCCGCGUGAAGGACGACGGUUCUAUGGAUUGUAAACUUCUUUUAUAUAGGGAUAAACCUCUUUACGUGUAAAGAGCUGAAGGUACUAUAUGAAUAAGCACCGGCUAACUCCGUGCCAGCAGCCGCGGUAAUACGGAGGGUGCAAGCGUUAUCCGGAUUUAUUGGGUUUAAAGGGUCCGUAGCGGAUCUGUAAGUCAGUGGUGAAAUCUCAUAGUUAAUUAUGAAGUGCAUUGAUUAUGAGGUCUUGAGUAAAGUAAAAGUGGUGGAAUAAGUAUUGUAGGUGAAAUGUUAGAUUUUAUU
RNAcentral lists this ribosomal RNA (600 nucleotides) under uncultured bacterium. RNAcentral describes it as "bacterial SSU rRNA". It matches the Rfam family "Bacterial small subunit ribosomal RNA", at positions 92 to 701 of the family's 1533-position model. The record is from RNAcentral.